RNAcentral lists this long non-coding RNA (3270 nucleotides) under Sus scrofa (pig). RNAcentral describes it as "lncRNA (ENSSSCG00000055655.1)". Lineage: Eukaryota; Metazoa; Chordata; Mammalia; Artiodactyla; Suidae. The record is from RNAcentral.
UUUUUUUUUUUGCUAUGAAUAUGAACAGGUAAAAAUAUAUUUAGUCUAGUACAUCUAUUUUUUGUAAAUUUACUGUAUUACUCAAAGCAAAGUUAUUGUCCAAGGCCUUUGCACAUACUUUUCUCUACCUGAACAUUUUUCCAGGUUUAUUGAGAUACAGUUGACAUUUAACAUUGUAUAAGUUUUGGAUGUACAAUGUAAUGAUUUGAUAAUGUAUAUAUUAUGAUAUUACUAUUUUAAGUAGUUAUCUGUUUAUCUUGUCUUAAAUAUGGAAUUUUUAAAAGCUAAUUGAACAGUUCUCGACCUCAGCUGCUCUCUCUUUUUUAUUUCCCUACCUUCAGAAACCUUCUUGUUUCUCCUUGGUAAAUUUUUAACUUUUAUCAUACCUGGAAAAAGCUCUGGAAUGAAAUACACUCAGUGACGGCCGUUCCGGAACACCACUCUCCUUGGUUGUCUGCCUGCUUAUCUGACCACUCUUUUUAGCUUUCUCUGUCAGUACUCUCUUUCACACUCCCUAAAUAUUCAUGCCCUGUAAACACCUCUCUUUGGCUCUUACCUCUUCUCAGUCUGUGACUCUCCUUGAAUAACUGAUCUACUCUCAUUGCUCCAGUGGGGUGUUAGUCUGGGUCCUCUGAGAAACAGAAGGCAAGAUACAAAGGAAAGAGAGAAGGGAGCCAGGGGAGGCUGAAAAAUCAUCAGACUGCGAUGCCAGUCUGAACCUAAGCAGGCACAGAAAGGGUGGGAAAGUCAAGUGAAAGCAUCCUGUGUAACUCUGAGUUCUUGCCAAGGUCACCAGAGAGUCUGCAAACCAGUCACUCGUCAGAGGAGCCCCUGCUUCCCUUCUGCACUCACCCAUUGCCUGAGUGCAGCCUGAGCGAAGGUUGGCCUUGGUGCAAAUACGGAAAGGAUUUCAAGUUGUAGCAGCUGGAGCCAUUGGUCAAUUACACUUCCUAUAGUCAGGGAUGUAAGGAAAGCAUUGCACAGCUGCCACAAACCACCACCUGACAAUUUGCAAACCCUAAUCUCCAGUCCUGGCUUCUAUUCUAAGCAAUAGAAUCAUAAUUUUGAUCACCACCAAUUAUCAUCAACAUAUGCCCCAUACAAACCUCAUUAACGUGCACAAUAAAUCAUUAUUGAGUCCCUAUUAUACACCAGACGUUGUACUCUUCUGAAGAAGCUAGUAGACUGGAGAAGGGAAUAAACACGUAAAAAAUAAAUCACAACAGAAACAGACUGACAGAUAUAGAGAACAGACUUGUGGUUGCCAAGGGGGAGGUGGGAGAAGGAGGGAAAGGUUGAGGGUUUGAGAUUAGCAGAGGCAGACUAUUAUUAUAUAUGGGAUGGAUAAAUGACAAGGUCAUACUUAUAGCGCAGGAAACUAUAUUCAAUAUCCUGUGAUAAACCAUAGUGGAAAAGAAUAUGUAAAAGAAUAACAGUCACUUUGCUCUACAGCAGAGAUCAACACAACAUUGUACAUCAAAUAUAUGUCAAUAAAACUUUUUAAAAAUUAAUAACUCACAAGUCACUUGUUUUUUCACUAAGUAUGGAUUGUAUACCUAUUACAUGCUAGGUAGGAACUGAGACAAGGUAUAGAGAAAUAACAGUAAAUAAAACAUGGUACGUGCCCUAAGGAGUUCACAGUCCAGUUGUAUAAGUCAAAGAAACAACCGCAUAAUUAUCAUAGAAUGCAGUAGGUGAACUAGGAAAGGAAUCAUCUAUUUAUGUCUUGAAGUAUAAAUAGGAGGUAUCUACACAGAUAAGAAGAAGGGCAGGGUUUCCUAGCUUCUCAAUGACAGAAGCAAAGAUGCAUUAAAAAGUAGCAGCAUGGUGAGGAGUUGCAUGGCGUAACUGUUGUCAUUGGCUACGUCAAUAAUUUAAGUGAAAAAUAAUAAGUGCCUGAGUUGAAUGCUUGCCAAAUAAAUGAAAGACUGUGUAGGUAGAGAGCAGGUAUGGGAAAGAUGUUUGAGAUAAAUUGUGAGGAUUUGGCAACAGACUGGAUUCAGGAUGGCAGAAAAGAAGGGCUUUCUUAACCCCAGCAUGUCUAACACCAUUCUCACCUCCUGUAUUUCAUGUCUCCCAGCUACCACCACUCACAAAGCUACUGUUGCUGGGAACCUCAGUGAGGUCCUAACUCAGAGCCUGGCAAGCAUACGAUAAUAUGCAUAAUGAGCAAACUACUUAUAUCUGUGAAGCCGAAACAUGAAUUGGCAUCAUUGCCUAUAUCACCAGAGUUCUUAGCUGCAACCACAGAUCCAUUCCAGCUAGCUUAUGCAGAAAAAGGAUUUAUUAAAGGGUAUCAGAUAGCUUAAAAAAAAAAAAAAGAGCUGUAAAAUGACUGGAGGCUAAAUUUCAGGAGUAAUGGUCAUGACCAAACCACAGAACUGAUCCGAGGAGGAAACAGCCACCACUUCCUCCAAUGCUAAGUAUUAAACCUUGGAACCCGGCUGAAAUGAGUGCUUCAGCUCACACCAGGGCCACUUCUGUGUCAGGUAUUCUGCCUGGCCAACAGUGCUGCUGCCACCACUGUCAAAACUGGGCACCACCUGCAGCAGCAGCAACUACAGUCACACAAAGAGCCUGUUUCCUUUGUUUUCCGGCAUCAGUGGGUGUAGCUUGUGAGGGUAUAUCUUGUGGAGCCUAAGCCACUUGCUUGAGUUUCAGUUGCAAGGGAGACUGAGACAUUUGAAUUUUAUCUUCAAAGUCAGAACUGAAGAAGUGGGGCCCUUGAUGUGGGAAAUUCCAAAUAUAGAAAGCAUUUAAGCUAUGAUGGGCAGCCCUACACAUGAUGUGUAUAGCUUCACUUAUCUUGUCAAUGCCUAUUCAGAAAAGCACCAACAGAAUAUCCAAACUUAGAAAGGAAUAACACAAAAAAUUGGGUUGUGAUGAUCAUUGCACAACUAUAAGUGUAAUAAAAUUCAUUGAAUUAAAAAAAAAGGAACAGUUCAGACUUCAGAAGCUAAGGUCUGAGACCCUUUCCUAUAGCAAACAAAAGCUAUCACAAGUUUUGAUUGCAACUAGGAUGUGACAUUGUUUUAAAUAAAGGGUUAGGGAGUUUAUCAUGGCACAGCGGAAACGAAUCCAAUUAGUAUCCAUGAGGACGCAGGUUCAAUCCCUGGCCUUGCUCAGUGGGUUAAGGAUCCAGCGUUACCGUGAGCUGUGGUGUAGGACACAGACGAAGCUUCGAGCUGGCCCACCUGGUGUUGCUGUGGGUGUGGUACAGGCUGGCAGCUGCAGCUCCAAUUCAACCCCUAGCCUGGGACCCUCCAUAUG